Molecule: ribosomal RNA, 468 nt
Filed under: uncultured bacterium
Lineage: Bacteria
Description: partial 16S ribosomal RNA
Rfam family: Bacterial small subunit ribosomal RNA
Source: RNAcentral
GACGAACGCUGGCGGCGUGCUUAACACAUGCAAGUCGAACGGAAAGGCCCUGCUUUUGUGGGGUGCUCGAGUGGCGAACGGGUGAGUAACACGUGUGUAACCUGCCCUUGACUUUGGGAUAACUUCAGGAAACUGGGGCUAAUACCGGAUAGGAGCUCCUGCUGCAUGGUGGGGGUUGGAAAGUUUCGGCGGUUGGGGAUGGACUCGCGGCUUAUCAGCUUGUUGGUGGGGUAGUGGCUUACCAAGGCUUUGACGGGUAGCCGGCCUGAGAGGGUUACCGGGCACAUUGGGACUGAGAGAGGGCACAGACUCCAACGGGAGGCAGCAGUGGGGAAUAUUGCAAAAUGGGCGGAAGCCUGAUGCAGCAACGCCGCGUGCGGGAUGACGGCCUUCGGGUUGUAAACCGAUUUCGCAUGUGACGAAGCGUGAGUGACGGUAAUGGGUAAAGAAGCACCGGCUAACUACGUG